Apis mellifera (honey bee) is the source of this 7243-nucleotide long non-coding RNA. RefSeq lists it as uncharacterized. NCBI's taxonomy places the organism in Eukaryota, Metazoa, Arthropoda, Insecta, Hymenoptera, Apidae. The transcript has 7 exons. The record is from RefSeq and is a predicted model, not a curated record.
UUUUCGGUUCGUUUGAGAUGAAACGUGAUGGUCAAAAGAGAAUGAUUUUUUUCGUUGGUAUUAAAUUUUGAUUCGAGAUGAAUGAUUUAUUCAAAAAAAUUUAGUGACGUAUCGAGAAUUUUUGAAUAAUUCGAAGGUUUAUAUAAUAAUAUUUUAAAGUAUUUAAAGAAAAACAGAAAUAAAGAAAAGAUUCGUGUCCAGAUGGAGAUAUACACGUUAUAUUUUAUAUUUUAUAUUUUAUAUAUAUUCACAAGAUCCAGUUCCUGGCCAUAAAAUGUAAAUAAUUGGAGGGCGAUCGAUAAUCUAUUUCAUGCAUGAUAAAAUAAUCGAUUUGUAAAAUUGGAUUAACAGGACACGCCACGACGAGUUUCGAGUAAAAAUUAAUAAACAGAUUGUUGACCGCGAUAAACGGCUUUUGCACGUCCACGCCGUGCGAUUCAAUUCAGUUUUCUAGAAAAUACAGUAUAAAAAUAUAUAUAAAUUCUAUCAGGGAAAAGCAUCGAGAUUUGGCUGAAACUAAAGAUGACAAAAAGAAGGUCAAUGACUAGGGAAUUUUUUGCCAGAAUCAAGGCGGUCUAAUUGAACGAAUCUUGGAAGGUGUGCAGUCCUAACGAUAAAAGAAAAUAACUUGGGAAGUAUUUAUGCAAAUACGCGCCUUUGCAUGGUGCAUGCAAAUCAACUUUAUCGAAGGUGGCACGACACGAAGGUGGUUCACCCUUUCGCGGAAGAAACGUCUCUCCCCCGGAUUGGCCGCGUUUGGCGGGAGCGGAAACGCGAUUACCUUAAAGCUGGAGGCCCUUCCUCGUGCAACGUGUAGAAAACGGAAUCGAAUAUCCAGCUUGAUUCUCAUCGAGACCUAAUUAUCGAUCGGUGGAAAGGCUCCCUCGUGAGCACAAUUUACGUAUUGAUUUACGUAUGCGUCGUAUCCUCUGUGUGCAAAGGGAUUCCUCGUACAUUGACUCACGGGCUGGCAGCCGUGCUAAAUGCAGUUGCAACUCUGCCCCUGGCUCUGUUCCAGCUCUGUACAACUGUAUUCCGCCUCGAUGGAUUCGGUAAUCGAGGUCAGUGUACCCCUUCAUCUCGCCUCGCUAUCUAUUUGCAGAGUGAUUUAAAUGCGCGACCCCUUCGCCGAACUUUGGCCCCCAACUUUGACCGGAAACAAUGCUCGAAUAUUUCCCAUGGAAGAACACUUUUUCCCUUUAAUCUUUUGUUAUUUAUAAUUCGAGGGAAAAGGCGAAGGGGAAAAAGAUAGGAUGGAUUUUGCGCGCGAGAAAUGGAGGUAGAAGAUUUUUUUAUCAAUUUUCUAUUCAAAGAAAGAAGAUGAAGGAAAAGACAGGAUAGAGAAAUGUACUGAAGGAGUAAAAAAUUGUGAUUUUUCAAAGAAAUGAAAACGAGGACAAAAGGAUAGAUGCAUUUUAUUUAAAAAAAAUUGGUCGGUUAAGUGAAAUUUGAACGAAUAAUUGGAUUGGUGGCAAGAAGGAAGUGAAGGAACUAUUGAAUGAAGAUGCGCGAGGCGCGCAAGGAUGGACGUGAUGAAAACAAUCGUGGAAAUAGUUCAUUUCAAUCUGGAGAAUCGAUAAAUGGGUCACCGCAGGUCGUCGGGCAAUAUCUCAUGUAUCCACGACUCGAGUAUCAACUGGGUCAUUCGACUGUAGCGAGAAUGGACGACAAAAGUGACAAACUAUCCCCGAAGAAACCAUUAUUCUAUAUCGCCUCUUCCAAGACCUGGCACAACAAUCUUCAGCUAUCAAAUGUUAUUUACCCGACACCUACGCCAAGAGGAAAACAAUUGACAAACGAGCCAACCUAAUUGAACUAUCCUCCAUUAACAACACAGCAUGUAUCUCAAUCCACCCACCAUUCCCGGAGAAAAUGUCGCGGAAGUCGCAAGACGCCGCCUGUAUUUACACUAUACUCAUCACUAUCCAUUAUCCACGAUAAUUGAAUCACUUCCGAUUAAAACUUGCCAAUUAUCUUAUAUAAAUUCAAUUGUACAUUCCUCCAAGAAAUUCUCUUCAUUCAAAAAUAACCAAAGGUUGAACAAAAAGAGAAGAAAGAUUUAGUGGAUUGAAUUCAAACUUAAGUCUAUAAGAUGAGGAGGAUAAUCAAACCACUCCCAAUUAUCAAAAUUCAAUUAUUCCAAGAAAUUCCAAUCACCAUCGAAAUAACUUAAACCAAAUGUCGAGAAAAGAAAAACAAAAAGAAAGAUUUACUCUGCGUUCGACAAAUUUUUCAAAGAAAUCUUCAAUUCUCGCGAAGAAUAAUUGAACCACUCCCGAUCAAAUCAAUUAUUCCUUUCAAAAAGCCACCAUCAAGAUAAGAAAUGAAAGAAAAAGAAAAGAAAAAAAGGAAACAAAGAUGCGGAAACACUUACUUUGAUUAUUGCGUUCGACGAGAGCUUCCGUUGAAGAAACGUCGAUUCGCGAGGAGGAUAGAACCGGGAUGACAGGUGAGAAGGCUCGUUCUCACGACGAACGGUACAUCGGUGUGAUAUAACGAUGGAACAAGAGGUUGUAAGCAAGCACUGUUCGUUUAUAUCCCGAUUGAACGAGGAGAUCGCUUCGACGGGGUGGUGGUCCCGCGAAUACUGAGCUUCUGGAGCCUAGAGCAUCCUGGUCGAUAAGCCAUCCCCCUCUGGCCACCCACUCGCGCUAAAGGUACGAUCACACCUGCGCUGGCCACCUCACGUGGAUUCGCGUGCAUUCACACUAAACCUCGAACGCACCUUUAACCUUUCGCUUCGAUUCAUUGAUAUACGUAUAUUUCAAGUGUAGUGCUUCUUAAUUUUGCUAUAUGCAACUCUCUUCUUAUUUUCUUUUUUGAUAAAUCUGUAUAUAAUGAAUCGGAGUUGGGAAGUUUUAGAUUCGACAGAUUUGAAUGGAAAAUUUUAAGGGUUUAAAUUCAGAGUGUAUUGUUUUGUGAAGAAUCAAAGAUUUGAAAUCAUUUAAUUGCAAAUAAUUAAAAAUACAAGUUAUAAGAUACAUAAAUUUUAUUAAAAAUUUUCAUGUAAAAAUGAGUGUUUCAAAAACUAUCUUGUGACUUGUUAGAAAUACAUAAUAGAUAUUUGCAUUUGUAUGCACUUUGUGCUUCUAAUUCGCAUCACAUGUAUAUGUGAAAUUCUAUCAAUUAAAAUAAGUUAACGCAAAUGUUAAACACAAUUGUAAGAUACAUAAAUUUUAGUAAAAAUUUUCAUGAAAAUGAUUAUAAUUAGGAAAAUUAUCUUGCGAAGCUGAACGAUACACAGAUUGAGAAUAUACAAUAGAUAUAUAUAUAUAUGUAUAUACAUAUGUUUACUACAUGCGUGCGUGUACAGUUUGAAACAAAAUUUUAACCUUUUAGAUUACUUCGUUCCACGAGGCUAUUCUUUCUAUUUGCCGUGCAAUUUGCUCACGUCUAUUUGAACUUCGAUUUCCUCUGUCGUCGUUUCUCGUUUGUUUGCCUCCCUCUAUUUGUUAUUUAUCAUGCGCCGACUAUUGAACCUAGAUGUGAUGCUCGUUAUUACCUGCGUUCCGUCGAGAUCCACGAUGCAACAAGUAUGCAUAUGUUUGUAUAAUUCAAGUCUGUUAGGCUUCAGAUGCUCGGCUAUAGCUCGUGAUAUUUAGAAAUACAAUACGCUAUUUAUAUAUUCGCAUUGAGCAAAAUAUUUCUCUGAAAUGUAGAAGAUUUUUUUUUCUUUUCUGAAAUGUAAUUUUAAAGUUAGUUUAAACUUUGAGUACACUUACUUAAUCGUAUGCAAAUUUUUCUUUAUAUUUUUUAUCCUUAUUUGGCAAGCUUUUUUUGCAAAUGUAUAAUAGUGAAUUAAAAUCCAUUUCAUGGAUCUCUAUGAUUUUCUCGUUGAAAUGUAAUUUUUACAGUUUAAAUUUUAAAUACACUUAUUAAUUGUAUGUAAAUUUUUCUUUAUAUUUUUUUAUUUAAUAUGCAAAUAAGCUUAUAUUGCAUAUUGAUGUUGUUAAACGUUAUUUUUCUGUGUUUUAAUCUGUUUCUUUUUUCAAUAAGUGUACAUGACAAUUUGUUAUUGUUUUCACGCAUGCAUAAUGGAAGAUAAAUAUUAGAGAAUUCACCUAGAACUAAUAAUAAAUAUUGGCACGCCUACUAAUUUUGCAUUUUGAUUAACACGUUCUUUCAAAUUUUGAGCUUAAAUAGGCAUGAAGAUAAUUAAAAGAUUAAAGUUUAACAGAUAUUAAUAUAGCUUCUCUAAUACGUGUAAAAUUAUUAUCUGCAUCAAUAUUUAAUUGUCUUAGAACGUUCAUCGAUUUUGGUAAAUGAUUAAAAUUCGUGAAUCGAAUCAAAAAUCAUUUUAAACAAAUAAGCGAUUAAUCGUUGUAUUAAAAUGAUGUAACGAAACAAUAAAUAAUACAAUUGAAAAUAUAGCAGAUAAUAAUAGAGAAAAUAAAUUAUACGAUAAAUUAUACGAUUAUUCGAAUACUUCGAUUUGUCUUGUAAUAUUAUCAUCUUGUUAUUACAAAUCGUAAUUUAUUCACCGUGCAAUUACUUUUUCUUUUGUUUAACAUACCUUUAACCUUUAGUCUCACCCACUGACAUUUUUACAAUGCAAGGCGAACCAUUUGAUGUUUCCAAGCAAUGCGUGCUCUUCUUUUUUUUUUUUUUCAUUCAAACAUCAUUUCAAAACUAUGAGAAGAAUCGUUGAUAUCUGUCUGAUAAAUUAUGUUUUACUCCACUUUACUCCGCUCCGUAAUUUCUUUAACCAACUUCGAAUUAUUAAAGUUUGAAAAAGACGAUUUAAAAAAAGGAAAACGCUUUAACUGUUUCGUAUACGUUAUAAUUUUGGAUAAAAGAAAAAUCAUUUUGAUUACAUACCUUCACAGAUGUUAUAUUUAAAAUCGAUUGCAUCUACUUCAUUACUUGCAAUAUGGUAUUUUGCAAUUGCAAAACAAAUAAUAUUGUACAAAGUUUCAGAAACAUCGGUCUGCGUGUGCGUACACCCACACGAUAUUUUUAUUAGUUCUUUUUCAUUGCUAAAUAUUGAAAUUUAUUUAAACAUGUUAAUUAUAACUAUCGUAAUGAAAAUGCUCGAGAUUUCUUAUCCUUUGAAUUUCCUUGAAAUCGACGAUCACUUGAUAAAUCAUACGAAAUCAUGAUCAAUAUCAUUCGAAUAAUCGAUAAGUUUGUAUUUAAACAUGUAAAUGCUAAGAAAGCAUUAUUCAGAAAAUGUCUCAAGACUUCUGAUUAAAGAUAUACAUGUCGCAAUUUCUACAUUUCAUUUUAUCACAAAUGACAAAAGUGUGAUUACUAAUAAGAAGAAAAAAUUUGAUCGAGUAACUUCUAUGCAAUGAUCACAAAUGGAAAGUUGACCGGUUUCCAUGAACAUCGAAUGUAAGACGCAGAUUUCACAUUGUCCGUACUGUUCAGAGAGAUUAUUUUUAGAGCGUUUCAACGUAGUAUAGGUGUUGCGCUAUCGAUAAAAUAUCGAUGAGACCUUCUCCACAAGGUUGCCGGUCUCCAUUCGAGCUUAACGCGAUGCAAUAAUUAAUUUCGUAAUUAACCUUGCAUUAAGUAACCAAUAAUAACGUUCUAAUCUAAUGAAGAUUCAGUUAAUCGAUCUCAACGCUGGUCCUCGGAUUACAAAACGUACGAAAAUCUUGAAUUUUUGGAAAAAUUUUGGAGUGAUUCCUUUUAAUCGAUUGAUUUUUAUUUUUAUUUUUCGUUUUUCGCCAUCGUUGAAUCAUUGGUAAUGAGUGGUUCGUUAGGUUAGUUUGACGGCAGAGGGAGUAUAUAAGUAUAUCGAAUGCGUCUUAAGAACAUAUCGAUAUAUCUUUUCACCAAGUACAUGCUUUGUAAUCGAACAACUUCGGACAGCUUUCAAGAACCUUCGUUUAACAUCUAUUUUUAAGCAUCGAAGUUUAACUGGUUGCGAUGUAACGAGCAAAAUAUAUAUUUUUCUACGUUAAAUGUCCUCGUUAAAUGGACGAUCGAAUUUUUAUCGAAAGAUAAUUCAUCGAUAUUUAACUAAUGAUAUUUGAUAAACGAUUUGUCUCGAUUCGAAUAUUAAUUAAAUCGAGGAGUGGAAUAUUUUUGUUCGAUUAAUGCAUUUUUUAACACAAAUAAUAAUUUUAUAAGCAGUUUAUUUAUUUUUGUGAUUUUUUAAAAGUUUUUUUAAUGGAUCUGCUGUUUUUUCUCAACUGCAAAUGUUUCUUCGAAAAAUUAACUUUGUUGUGUUUAUUUACGUUGAAAAUUAGAAGAAUGUUUGGAAUUGAAUGCGUUGUAAUAUUCAUGGAAAGUGCGUUGAUACGAAGAAACUACCUAAUUAGCCUUGAAUCGAUAAAGUGGUGGAAUAUUCUCCAUUCUCGGAAAUUAAUCGUUGAUUCGUGUCAAAAUGAAGAAUUGUUCCUUGGAAAUACGGAUAACCAAAUACUUAACAACAGUGUGACGUCGUCGCUCUUCUGGGAAUGAUAAGAUAAUUCUUGCAUUUUGAUUAAUAUUUCACUUUAGAAAUCACAUCAUUCAAACUUAGAAUUUGACGCUAACUUUUUCAGAAGGAUAUUUUUUUUCAACGAAUAAAACGAUAUGUAUUUAUUUGUGCAAAGUAAAAUUUUAAUUAUUGAACAAUUAUUAAACAAAUUUUUCAUAUAUUCUUUCUUCUGCUACAAUCUAUGCUUUCUUAAUACUAUGAAAUAAUUUAAUAGUUUUUGAUAAUUUCAAUUUUUAAAGAUAAUAUUAACCAAUGUACUUUUCCUUUCGAAGAUUUUGCCAUUUAAAAAAUUUUGUAACUAAGAAAAUAACAAAUGAUUCUAGAAUCAGAAGAAUUUGAUGGAAAAUAUUAUAGAGUAUUAAUUUAAUUUCUUAACGUUGCUUUUACUGUGCAUAAUCGAAAAUAUUAGUCAUUUGUUUAUUGAGCUUGCGCGUCAUCCAGUUAAUAAGUAAGUUGCAGCUGUGCAAAUUUGAUUUAAUUUUAAAAAUUUCUAGAAAAUUUUAUUAUCCUAAUUUGCAUGGUGUAUUGAUAGAGACUCCGUUUCCAUCCACUGACGUAAACGUAAAAUGAAAUGCGUUGGUGGACAAUUGUGAACGCUUGCUUGAGUAUACUCGUGAAACCAGCACAAACAAGAAUCAAGAUUCUCUUAAAUAGCCCAAGUAUCUUAUUCCUUAAUUAUUAUUCCAAAAGAGUUAGUUAUUUUUCCAAAACAACAAUGUAGGUUCAAAACAAAUUGUUUGCUUUUCUUCUUUUUUUUUUUCAAGGAAAAAUAAUAUUUCGUUUUAUAGAUGAAUUUCAAAAUAAUAAUUUUAA